Scylla paramamosain (green mud crab) is the source of this 767-nucleotide RNA transcript. RefSeq lists it as uncharacterized. The record is from RefSeq and is a predicted model, not a curated record. The transcript has 4 exons. NCBI's taxonomy places the organism in Eukaryota, Metazoa, Arthropoda, Malacostraca, Decapoda, Portunidae.
GGGGGGGGGGUGACAUUAGAUAAUAUUUCUCAUUCUUGAUGUGAUGUCUUAGUCCAGCUAGAUGUGGGUCGAUAAAUUAUACACACUGACUCGGAAGCUUCAUAUGUCUUGAGUUGGUGUUCGGAGCGCAGGAGGCCGUCAUGAGUUCAGAAGCCGCCAUAUUUAGUCACCAGGCGGAGGGAGGAGGAGGACGUGAUGGCUGCGCUCCUCACUGUUUUCUUUAGUUUGUGCCUUUAUUUGCUUCCCACGUGGUUUGUGUCAUCAGGAAGGAGAUCAAGGCACUGCAGACCUACCUGAGCGUCUCACCUGUGUGUCUUGUCGCGUAGCACACGAUGACUCGUGGCUGCAGUGCGUCGUGAUGAAGCUGCCAGCGAUACAAGAAAAGGCACGCGUUCCCAGUGUGGUCAUUAGCUCCCGUUGAUCCCUCGUGCAGCUGGCGCAGGUGAGGCGGAGGUCAACUUUUCAAUGUGACCUUUGCCCCUUGGAGACAUAUCAGGUCAGCUUGCCUUGUGUGACCUGUUUUGUGGCCGUCAGUACCAGGUGGGCCAAGACAAGGAUUGGAAUGCGACUCGGGUUAAUGGUUGUGUCAACAGUGUUUGUCCAGCAUUCACAUCACAGCAGAACCAUGAAUCCAGACACAUCUGCUGUGGCUACAUCCUGAACAUCGUUUUACAGGAUCUUUCAUGAAGGAAAUUGGUUAAACUGCAAGAGGAUCACUGUAGCCAGCCACCCAUUUAUGCUGUCCUUGCAUCCCCUCCUCUAAUAAG